CAUGCAAGUCGAACGCGAAAGUGGAGCAAUCCAUGAGUAGAGUGGCAAACGGGUGAGUAACGCGUGGGUGACCUGCCUUCGAGCGGGGGAUAACGUUCCGAAAGGGACGCUAAUACCGCAUGACAUCCUGCCUUUGAAGAGGCGGAGAUCAAAGCUGGGGAUCGCAAGACCUAGCACUCGAUGAGGGGCCCGCGUCUGAUUAGCUAGUUGGUGGGGUAACGGCUCACCAAGGCAACGAUCAGUAUCCGGCCUGAGAGGGCGGACGGACACACUGGGACUGAGACACGGCCCAGACUCCUACGGGAGGCAGCAGUGGGGAAUUGUUCGCAAUGGGCGCAAGCCUGACGACGCAACGCCGCGUGGAGGAUGAAGAUCUUCGGGUCGUAAACUCCUUUCAAUCGAGACGAACGGCCUCCGGGUAAACAAUCCGGAGGAGUGACGGUACCGAGAGAAGAAGCCCCGGCUAACUCCGUGCCAGCAGCCGCGGUAAUACGGGGGGGGCAAGCGUUGUUCGGAAUUACUGGGCGUAAAGGGCUCGUAGGCGGCCAACUAAGUCAGACGUGAAAUCCCUCGGCUUAACCGGGGAACUGCGUCUGAUACUGGAUGGCUUGAGUUUGGGAGAGGGAUGCGGAAUUCCAGGUGUAGCGG
RNAcentral lists this ribosomal RNA (648 nucleotides) under uncultured Acidobacteriota bacterium. Its description in RNAcentral is "bacterial SSU rRNA". It matches the Rfam family "Bacterial small subunit ribosomal RNA", at positions 54 to 681 of the family's 1533-position model. The record is from RNAcentral. Lineage: Bacteria; Pseudomonadati; Acidobacteriota.